GAAACUCGGAUCAAGGAGUCAAGGUUGUGCGCGAGUGUUAGGUGUUAAACUCGCACGCGUAAUGAAAGUGAACGUAGGUGAGAGCUUCGGCGCAUCAUCGACCGAUCAUGAUGUUUUCGGAUGGAUUUGAGUAGGAGCGUUAAGCCUUGGACCCGAAAGAUGGUGAACUAUGCUUGGAUAGGGUGAAGCCAGAGGAAACUCUGGUGGAGGCUCGCAGCGGUUCUGACGUGCAAAUCGAUCGUCAAAUCUGAGCAUGGGGGCGAAAGACUAAUCGAACCAUCUAGUAGCUGGUUACCGCCGAAGUUUCCCUCAGGAUAGCAGUGUUGUCUUCAGUUUUAUGAGGUAAAGCGAAUGAUUAGGGACUCGGGGGCGCUUUUUAGCCUUCAUCCAUUCUCAAACUUUAAAUAUGUAAGAAGCCCUUGUUACUUAAUUGAACGUGGGCAUUCGAAUGUACCAACACUAGUGGGCCAUUUUUGGUAAGCAGAACUGGCGAUGCGGGAUGAACCGAACGCGGGGUUAAGGUGCCGGAGUGGACGCUCAUCAGACACCACAAAAGGCGUUAGUACAUCUUGACAGCAGGACGGUGGCCAUGGAAGUCGGAAUCCGCUAAGGACUGUGUAACAACUCACCUGCCGAAUGUACUAGCCCUGAAAAUGGAUGGCGCUCAAGCGUCCCACCCAUACCCCGCCCUCAGGGUAGAAACGAUGCCCUGAGGAGUAGGCGGCCGUGGAGGUCAGUGUCGAAGCC
RNAcentral lists this ribosomal RNA (747 nucleotides) under Chaetomium sp. RNAcentral describes it as "LSU rRNA". It matches the Rfam family "Eukaryotic large subunit ribosomal RNA", at positions 656 to 1410 of the family's 3401-position model. Lineage: Eukaryota; Fungi; Ascomycota; Sordariomycetes; Sordariales; Chaetomiaceae. The record is from RNAcentral.